This 424-nucleotide ribosomal RNA is filed under the name uncultured Agathobaculum sp. RNAcentral's name for it is "bacterial SSU rRNA". It matches the Rfam family "Bacterial small subunit ribosomal RNA", at positions 338 to 779 of the family's 1533-position model. Lineage: Bacteria; Bacillati; Bacillota; Clostridia; Eubacteriales; Butyricicoccaceae. The record is from RNAcentral.
CCUACGGGAGGCAGCAGUGGGGAAUAUUGCACAAUGGAGGAAACUCUGAUGCAGCGACGCCGCGUGAGUGAAGAAGUAUUUCGGUAUGUAAAGCUCUAUCAGCAGGGAAGAUAAUGACGGUACCUGACUAAGAAGCACCGGCUAAAUACGUGCCAGCAGCCGCGGUAAUACGUAUGGUGCAAGCGUUAUCCGGAUUUACUGGGUGUAAAGGGAGCGUAGGUGGCUGUGCAAGUCAGAAGUGAAAGCCCGGGGCUUAACCCCGGGACUGCUUUUGAAACUGUGCGGCUGGAGUGCAGGAGAGGUAAGUGGAAUUCCUAGUGUAGCGGUGAAAUGCGUAGAUAUUAGGAGGAACACCGGUGGCGAAGGCGGCUUACUGGACUGUAACUGACACUGAGGCUCGAAAGCGUGGGGAGCAAACAGGAUU